AUCGCUUUUCAGCCCUUUAGCCAAGGUCAAGUGUAGUAUCUGUUCUUUUCAGUUUAAUAUCUGAUACGUCCUCUAUCCGAGGACAAUAUAGUAAAUGGAUUUUUGGAGCAGGGAGAUGGACUAGGAGCUUGCCCUGUCCACUCCACGCAUCGACCUGGUAUUGCAGGACUUCAGGAACGGUGCACCCCCU
RNAcentral lists this small nuclear RNA (190 nucleotides) under Propithecus coquereli (Coquerel's sifaka). RNAcentral describes it as "U2 spliceosomal RNA (ENSPCOG00000004376.1)". It matches the Rfam family "U2 spliceosomal RNA". From Rfam's summary of the family: U2 is a small nuclear RNA (snRNA) component of the spliceosome (involved in pre-mRNA splicing). Complementary binding between U2 snRNA (in an area lying towards the 5' end but 3' to hairpin I) and the branchpoint sequence (BPS) of the intron results the bulging out of an unpaired adenosine, on the BPS, which initiates a nucleophilic attack at the intronic 5' splice site, thus starting the first of two transesterification reactions that mediate splicing. Lineage: Eukaryota; Metazoa; Chordata; Mammalia; Primates; Indriidae. The record is from Rfam by way of RNAcentral.